GACAAACGGGGGGGGGGUUUUUUAACCUUGUAAGUUGAACGGGAUUUUUGAGGAAAAACCUUUGGGGGGAAGAUUAUUAAUUAGAGUGGCGGAACGGGGUGAGUAACGCGUGAGCCCACCCUCCUUACACAGGGGGGAUAGCCCUUGGGAAACCGGGAUUAAUUCCCGCAUAAAAUCGUAAAAACCCAUGGUUUAAGGGUUAAAGAUUUAUCGGUUAAAAAUGGGCUCGCGUUUGAUUAGCUAGUUGGUAAGAUAACAGCCCCCCAAGGCAACGAUCCGUUGCCGGUUUUAGAGGAUGAACGGCCACAUUGGAACUGAGACACGGCCCAAAAUCCUACGGGAGGCAGCAGUGGGGAAUAUUGCACAAUGGGGGAAACCCUGAUGCAGCGACGCCGCGUGAACGAAGAAGGUUUUCGUAUUGUAAAGUUCUGUCCUAUGGGAAGAUAAUGACAGUACCAUAGAAGAAAGCUCCGGCUAAAUACGUGCCAGCAGCCGCGGUAAUACGUAUGGAGCGAGCGUUGUCCGGAAUUAUUGGGCGUAAAGGGUACGCUGGCGGUUUAAUAAGUCGAAUGUUAAAGAUCGGGGCUCAACCCCGUAAAGCAUUGGAAACUGAUAAACUUGAGUAGUGGAGAGGAAAGUGGAAUUCCUAGUGUAGUGGUGAAAUACGUAGAUAUUAGGAGGAAUACCAGUAGCGAAGGCGACUUUCUGGACACAAACUGACGCUGAGGUACGAAAGCGUGAGGAGCAAACAGG
This 753-nucleotide ribosomal RNA is filed under the name uncultured Finegoldia sp. RNAcentral describes it as "partial 16S ribosomal RNA". It matches the Rfam family "Bacterial small subunit ribosomal RNA", at positions 28 to 776 of the family's 1533-position model. Lineage: Bacteria; Bacillati; Bacillota; Tissierellia; Tissierellales; Peptoniphilaceae. The record is from RNAcentral.